This is a non-coding RNA of Pelobates cultripes (western spadefoot toad), 206 nucleotides long. The record is from the annotation of a GenBank genome assembly. Lineage: Eukaryota; Metazoa; Chordata; Amphibia; Anura; Pelobatidae.
UUUAAAAGGAUAACAUUUAUUGGUCACACUUACAAGAUUUAAAACAAUACAGGCAUAUCACCAUAUCCACUGGAACUCCUGCUUGGAAUUUAAAAGGGUAUUGCAGCAGCCCUCGAGUUAAAAACAUAAAUAAACAGUCCUAAGCGUUUCAUACAUUUACACGUACUUCCUCAGGGACAAUCAAAAUUCAGUAGACAGUCAUGCAC